RNAcentral lists this ribosomal RNA (350 nucleotides) under uncultured Streptococcus sp. RNAcentral describes it as "bacterial SSU rRNA". It matches the Rfam family "Bacterial small subunit ribosomal RNA", at positions 1034 to 1382 of the family's 1533-position model. The record is from RNAcentral. Lineage: Bacteria; Bacillati; Bacillota; Bacilli; Lactobacillales; Streptococcaceae.
ACAGGUGGUGCAGUGGUUGUCGUCAGCUCGUGUCGUGAGAUGGUUGGGUUAAGUCCCGCAACGAGCGCAACCCCUAUUGUUAGUUGCCAUCAUUCAGUUGGGCACUCUAGCGAGACUGCCGGUAAUAAACCGGAGGAAGGUGGGAUGACGUCAAAUCAUCAUGCCCCUUAUGACCUGGGCUACACACGUGCUACAAUGGUUGGUACAACGAGUUGCGAGUCGGUGACGGCGAGCUAAUACUCUUAAAGCCAAUCUCAGUUCGGAUUGUAGGCUGCAACUCGCCUACAUGAAGUCGGAAUCGCUAGUAAUCGCGGGAUCAGCACGCCGCGGUGAAUACGUUCCCGGGCCUU